This is a long non-coding RNA of Marmota monax (woodchuck), 2136 nucleotides long. RefSeq lists it as uncharacterized. The transcript is spliced from 2 exons. NCBI's taxonomy places the organism in Eukaryota, Metazoa, Chordata, Mammalia, Rodentia, Sciuridae. The record is from RefSeq and is a predicted model, not a curated record.
CAACGCGCGCAGCAGACGCGACACAGAGCGACGCCGGAAGUCCCGCCUCCACGCCGCGGUGGCAGGAAACGCCCUCCCCCGCGGUUGUGGGCCCGACGCAGCCGCGUACGCUCCGCGCAGACUUCUGGGUAAUGCAGUUCGACCCUGGGCACCCUUAGGUGCUCCAGGUCCACCUUCAAGAACACCGCUUAGGAGCAGGAUUUAUCAUAAAUUCAAUUUGAAUAGGUGUUUUGCAGUGUUUGUUUUAGCCAAAAUAAAACCCUGGGAAAAUGCUGACUUGGAGAAGGUCUCAAGAAAUUUAAAAACAAAAGGAAAUUUUUUAAAAAGAAAAACACAUCAGAAGAAAUGAUUAGGAGUCACCUGUGAAGAUGGCACAGCUACAUGAUCACCAUCAUGCUUUAGAGAAAAUAAUAAAUGAACAAAUAUAUCAAAAUAAAGAAAUAUGAGAGUCAUAUAGACAUUUUAAAUGACAUGAAAAACGCUUAGUUUUUAAAAUUUCAUUUCUUGGGUUUAGUUUUUAAAAUCAAACCUUUAAGCGUUCUUAAGUGAAAUGACAUCAGCAAGAUGACUUCAGAUAUUCCCACCACCCGCGAGCACACUGAAUAAACACGAUAAAUUCCCUCUAGGAGAAAUCUAGGACCAGAGUCUCUCCACUGUAUCUGCAGCUCUCAAAGUGCUGACAGGCGCAGGGCGCCGCCUGUGGGGGUCAAAGCGAAGGAGGUGUAGAAUCUCUAAGUAAAGCCCUCGAGAAGGAUGAUCACGGACCUCAAGUCUCACUCAGGAGCCGCUGAGCGAGAUGGAGUCUUCCAAACGACACCGAGGCGGGCUCCCUCACUCCAUCCCGGCUGUUUUCUUGCUCUGUUCCAGGAAAGCUGUCCCUGUCACACAUUCCAGUCUACAAGGCUGAUGUUGAAGAAACGGCAGAGUCUCCUUCUGCGGAGCCGGAAGCCCGUCCCUUCGGGAAAUGAUCCUUUCCGGUGUCUCCCUGGGCUGUGCGCUGGCGGAAGCACAAGGGAACGGGCUUGGGGGCACCCUAGUGCCCGCGCUUUAGGCGCCCACACGCUGCGUCAGUUGCGUUCCCCAUGGCAACGGCCAAGCGGCACUGCCGGGACAGCCCUUAAGAGGAAAUUACGUUCCAGAGCUCCGAUAGAGGUCGAGUUUUGCUUCCUAAAAGAACUGUUGAAAUUUCCGUGGCUAUCGAGGGGCACAGAAGACCCCUUCCCUGGCCGUCCUGCCUGUUUCGCCCUGGGCAAGCUGCUUCACAAUUCUGAGAAGUGAGGACCGAGAGUUAUCGUGAAAACAGAAACAACUUUACCUUGGGAAUAGCACUGGUACACGUUACUUUAAUUUGGUUUUACAAAGUUGUGGUUCCAGAAGGUGACGAGGACCUUUAGUACCAGUUACUUGGGAUGCUGAGGUGGGAGAAUCGCUAGAGUCCAAGAGUUGGAGGGCAGCCUGGACUAUUUAGCGAGACUCCCAUCUCAAAAUACAUGAAUCAAAAAAAGAAAGAAAGAAAUUGUAGUACGCAAGACUUGGGAAGUGGUCAAAAAUGCAGGCUUUCUGAACCCACUACUAACUCAAAAACUCUGGGUAUGGGGCCGUGAGUUCCAGCUCCUACUCCAUCCUCUUCACUAGUCCACUGCAAGCAGUUGUCCUGUCUUUGGUCCGGAAGAGCUGAACAAGUAAACCCAGUCUUAUCAGUCGUUACUUAAAUUCACCAUUUUUUCCUGUAAUAGCCAGAAUGAAGUCAAACUGUUUGCCAGUGCCUCCACGAUUUUCUCCUGGCCUCUCAUCUUCUGCAUUCUCUGCCUCCUUCAUUUUCCAACCAGAUCCCUUUGUUUCUCUGAAAUUUCCUCCCAGGGGAAUUUUACCAGAGACUCUUCUAGUAUCUUCAGUUUUCAGCUUCCUUUUUUGUCCUCUGUUCUCAAAUGUAGCAACUGGAUGCUUUUGUGAAACAUGGUCUUCCGGCUCACUUUAACCCACAAAAUACAAUUAAUUUUCACUGCUCUAGUGCUGAUUAGUUUCCACCACCCUGAAGUCCAGGACUGACCUGAAAUUCUGUCUUCCUAGAAGGCCAGUUCCUUGGAAUUUCCCUUCUUUCAAUGAUACGAUCAAUAAAUCUGUAAUAUGCCAAAA